GCUCCCCUAGUGUAAUUGGAUAACACACCAGACUUCCAAUCUGGUAAUGUCGGUUCGAGUCCGGCUGGGAGCU
This 73-nucleotide transfer RNA is filed under the name Lactobacillus phage ATCC 8014-B2. It matches the Rfam family "tRNA". From Rfam's summary of the family: Transfer RNA (tRNA) molecules are approximately 80 nucleotides in length. Their secondary structure includes four short double-helical elements and three loops (D, anti-codon, and T loops). The record is from Rfam by way of RNAcentral. Lineage: Duplodnaviria; Heunggongvirae; Uroviricota; Caudoviricetes.